ACGCUCGACACCUACGGGAGGUAGCAGUAGGGAAUCUUCCACAAUGGACGCAAGUCUGAUGGAGCAACGCCGCGUGAGUGAAGAAGGUCUUCGGAUCGUAAAACUCUGUUGUUAGAGAAGAACACGAGUGAGAGUAACUGUUCAUUCGAUGACGGUAUCUAACCAGCAAGUCACGGCUAACUACGUGCCCGCAGCCGCGGUAAUCUGAGCGGGCUGGCAAGGC
This 223-nucleotide ribosomal RNA is filed under the name uncultured bacterium. Its description in RNAcentral is "partial 16S ribosomal RNA". It matches the Rfam family "Bacterial small subunit ribosomal RNA", at positions 328 to 539 of the family's 1533-position model. The record is from RNAcentral.